This 293-nucleotide ribosomal RNA is filed under the name uncultured bacterium. Its description in RNAcentral is "partial 16S ribosomal RNA". It matches the Rfam family "Bacterial small subunit ribosomal RNA", at positions 775 to 1067 of the family's 1533-position model. The record is from RNAcentral.
GGAUUAGAUACCCUGGUAGUCCACGCCGUAAACGAUGUCGACUAGCCGUUGGGGUCCUUGAGGCUUUAGUGGCGCAGCUAACGCGAUAAGUCGACCGCCUGGGGAGUACGGCCGCAAGGUUAAAACUCAAAUGAAUUGACGGGGGCCCGCACAAGCGGUGGAGCAUGUGGUUUAAUUCGAAGCAACGCGAAGAACCUUACCAGGUCUUGACAUCCAGAAAACUUAGCAGAGAUGCUUUGGUGCCUUCGGGAAUUCUGUGACAGGUGCUGCAUGGCUGUCGUCAGCUCGUGUCG